RNAcentral lists this transfer RNA (73 nucleotides) under Chloroflexota bacterium. Its description in RNAcentral is "tRNA-Lys". It matches the Rfam family "tRNA". From Rfam's summary of the family: Transfer RNA (tRNA) molecules are approximately 80 nucleotides in length. Their secondary structure includes four short double-helical elements and three loops (D, anti-codon, and T loops). Further hydrogen bonds mediate the characteristic L-shaped molecular structure. tRNAs have two regions of fundamental functional importance: the anti-codon, which is responsible for specific mRNA codon recognition, and the 3' end, to which the tRNAs corresponding amino acid is attached (by aminoacyl-tRNA synthetases). tRNAs cope with the degeneracy of the genetic code in two manners: having more than one tRNA (with a specific anti-codon) for a particular amino acid; and 'wobble' base-pairing, i.e. permitting non-standard base-pairing at the 3rd anti-codon position. Lineage: Bacteria; Bacillati; Chloroflexota. RNAcentral also lists the same sequence under 4 other names. The record is from RNAcentral.
GACUCCGUAGCUCAAUCGGCAGAGCAGGGGACUUUUAAUCCCAAGGUUUUGGGUUCGAUUCCCAACGGAGUCA